Molecule: ribosomal RNA, 798 nt
Filed under: Triticum aestivum (bread wheat)
Lineage: Eukaryota; Viridiplantae; Streptophyta; Magnoliopsida; Poales; Poaceae
Description: partial small subunit ribosomal RNA
Source: RNAcentral
AUGGAGCCCGGCCAGUGCGAGAUCGCGCGCCUGCCGGAGGAGAUCCUGUCGGCGGCGCUCUCCCGCACGUCGCCGCGCGACGCCUGCCGCGCCACCGCGGUCUCCCCGGCGUUCCGCGCCGCCGCCGACUCCGACGCCGUCUGGGCCUGCUUCCUGCCGCCGCCCGCCGCCCUCCCGCCGCUGGCCGACGGAGAGCUGCUUCCGCCGCCGCCGCGCGGGAAGAAGGACCUGUUCCUCCGCCUCUCCGGCAGCCCCGUCCUCCUCCCAGGCGGACUGAGCAUGUGGCUGGACAGGGCGAGCGGCGCCAAGUGCUACAUGGUGCCGGCGAGGGACCUGUCCAUCGCGUGGCGCGACACGCCGCGCUACUGGUCCUGGAUCCAUCUCACCGACUCGAGGUUCCCUGAGAGUGCUCAACUCAGGUUCGUUUGCUGGUUGGAAAUCCACGGCAAGAUACACAGCAAGUUGCUAUCCCGAGGCUCAGCUUACGCCACUUACAUGGUGUACAAGUUGGACGACGAGUCCUACGGGCUGGAUUGGCCGGCCGAUGCAUCAGUGAGCAUUGGAGGCACCGACCUUGCCCGCAAGGUCUGCCUCCAACCUAACCCGCAAAGAAGCCAUGCAGAGGAUGUAGUGCUCCCUCGUGAAAGGGGUGAUGGUUGGAUGGAGCUGGAGCUAGGAGAGUUUGUCUGUGAGGGGGAUGAAGAUGGCGACGUUUCCUUCGGCCUGGCGGAGACGAAACGUUUGAACGGUAAGGGCGGUCUCAUCAUGCAGGGAAUCGAGAUAAGGCAUAAGAAUUAA